GACGAACCGUGCGAACGUUGUUCGGAUUCACUGGGCUUAAAGGGCGCGUAGGCGGCGCGACAAGUCGGGGGUGAAAUCUUCCGGCCCAACCGGAAAAGGGCCCCCGAUACUGGCGCGCUGGAGGGAGGUAGGGGCAUGUGGAACUCCAGGUGGAGCGGUGAAAUGCGUAGAUAUCUGGAGGAACGCCGGUGGCGAAAGCGACGUGCUGGACCUUCACUGACGCUGAGGCGCGAAAGCCAGGGGAGCAAACGGG
This 253-nucleotide ribosomal RNA is filed under the name uncultured bacterium. RNAcentral's name for it is "partial 16S ribosomal RNA". It matches the Rfam family "Bacterial small subunit ribosomal RNA", at positions 524 to 776 of the family's 1533-position model. The record is from RNAcentral.